RNAcentral lists this ribosomal RNA (460 nucleotides) under uncultured bacterium. Its description in RNAcentral is "partial 16S ribosomal RNA". It matches the Rfam family "Bacterial small subunit ribosomal RNA", at positions 29 to 505 of the family's 1533-position model. The record is from RNAcentral.
ACGAACGCUGGCGGCGUGCUUAACACAUGCCAGUCGAACGGAAAGGCCUUUUCGGAGGUACUCGAGUGGCGAACGGGUGAGUAACACGUGGGUGAUCUGCCCUGCACUCUGGGAUAAGCCUGGGAAACUGGGUCUAAUACCGGAUAGGACCGCACUUUAGUGUGUGUGGUGGAAAGUUUUUUCGGUGUAGGAUGAGCCCGCGGCCUAUCAGCUUGUUGGUGGGGUAAUGGCCUACCAAGGCGGCGACGGGUAGCCGGACUGAGAGGUUGGUCGGCCACAUUGGGAAUGGGAAACGGCACAGACCACAAGGGGGGGAAGAGGGGGGGAAAAUGGAAAAAGGGGGGAAGGCGUGAGGAGGCGAGGCGGGGGGGGGAAGGAGGGCCUUGGGGUUGAAAAAUCCUUUGGCCGGGAAGGAGGCGUUUGGGAAGGGAACGGGAAGAAGAAGAACGGGUAAACACCG